GCACCAGUAGCUCAACUGGAUAGAGCACCUCACUACGGAUGAGGAGGUUGAGAGUUCGAAUCUUUCCUGGUGUACUA
Molecule: transfer RNA, 77 nt
Filed under: Bacteroidota bacterium
Lineage: Bacteria; Pseudomonadati; Bacteroidota
Description: Bacteroidetes bacterium (hydrothermal vent metagenome) tRNA-Arg
Rfam family: tRNA
About the family: Transfer RNA (tRNA) molecules are approximately 80 nucleotides in length.
Source: RNAcentral